RNAcentral lists this long non-coding RNA (382 nucleotides) under Cyanistes caeruleus (blue tit). RNAcentral describes it as "lncRNA (ENSCCEG00000007734.1)". Lineage: Eukaryota; Metazoa; Chordata; Aves; Passeriformes; Paridae. The record is from RNAcentral.
AUUUUAUCUGAAUAACCCAGAUUCUCAUAAAAAACCCUCAUUGUUUCCUACACAGGCCCUAACUUCUUCUCAGCAGGAGUUGGAUAGACUGCUAAGCCUGGUGUGACUUGAGGUCAGGGAGACUCACUUUACACUGCAGCUAUGCCAGGAUGAAUUUGCAUUUCCAACACUUUUCUUCAGGAUAGUAAAAGCUGCGGAGUACCUAGGAACAUUUCCACGUUGGGACAUUUUUCUUCUCCACAAGGUGGUGCUAUUACUAUGCGAUAUUGUAUCUUUUCUUCAGCGUGAACUGAAGCAGUUUUAUUUCCAAAAGGCAUAAAAUGUCGUGCCAUUUUGAGCCAUGAGCAGAACAAUUUAAGAUCCCAUACACCUAUUAAAAAGG